This 254-nucleotide ribosomal RNA is filed under the name uncultured bacterium. RNAcentral describes it as "partial 16S ribosomal RNA". It matches the Rfam family "Bacterial small subunit ribosomal RNA", at positions 524 to 776 of the family's 1533-position model. The record is from RNAcentral.
CACGUAGGGUGCGAGCGUUGUCCGGAAUUAUUGGGCGUAAAGAGCUCGUAGGCGGUGUGUCGCGUCGGCCGUGAAAACCUGCAGCUUAACUGUGGGCUUGCGGUCGAUACGGGCAUCACUGGAGUUCGGCAGGGGAGACUGGAAUUCCUGGUGUAGCGGUGAAAUGCGUAGAUAUCCGGAGGAACACCAGCGGCGAAGGCGGCUUUCUGGUCCGAUACUGACGCUGAGGUGCGAAAGCGUGGGGAGCGAUCCGG